UUUGUUGUAGUAUUGAAGAAACUGUAAGGUGAGUCUGUACCCAAACUGUAAGGCAUGUCUGUUGAUGGUGAUCCCUAUUGUAGAUGAUGUAAACUGUUGUGUUUGUACUGUGCGAGAUAGAUGUAGAAUAGCAGCUUAGGAUAAGUAGAGGAGAAAUUCUGUUUGGAAUUCGAACUGGCUACAGGCAUGCCGAAACUGCUGUUGUAUUUUCAAUCUUGUUCUGAUGGGACAAAGAAUCCUGCAAUUUACUUGUGGUAGUAAGAAACAGUUCGUAUAUGCAUGGUGAAUGGGACUUGAAUGAAGUAUGUGUGUUGUGCUCAAUGAGAAAGUAUCAGUUGUGUCGGC
This 345-nucleotide long non-coding RNA is filed under the name Triticum aestivum (bread wheat). RNAcentral's name for it is "long non-coding RNA (TAES_LNC019934)". Lineage: Eukaryota; Viridiplantae; Streptophyta; Magnoliopsida; Poales; Poaceae. The record is from RNAcentral.